Molecule: ribosomal RNA, 497 nt
Filed under: uncultured bacterium
Lineage: Bacteria
Description: partial 16S ribosomal RNA
Rfam family: Bacterial small subunit ribosomal RNA
Source: RNAcentral
GAUGAACGCUGGCGGCGUGCCUAAUACAUGCCAGUCGAGCGAACGGACGAGAAGCUUGCUUCUCUGAUGUUAGCGGCGGACGGGUGAGUAACACGUGGAUAACCUACCUAUAAGACUGGGAUAACUUCGGGAAACCGGAGCUAAUACCGGAUGAUAUUUUGAACCGCAUGGUUCAAAAGUGAAAGACGGUCUUGCUGUCACUUAUAGAUGGAUCCGCGCUGCAUUAGCUAGUUGGUAAGGUAACGGCUUACCAAGGCAACGAUGCAUAGCCGACCUGAGAGGGUGGUCAGUCACACGGGAACUGAGGCACGGUCCAGACGCCUACGGGAGGCAGCAGGGGGGCAUAUUGGACAAUGGGCGAAAGCCUGAUCCAGCCAGGCCGCGUGUGUGAAGAAGGUCUUCGGAUUGUAAAGCACUUUAAGUUGGGAGGAAGGGUUGUAGAUUAAGACUCUGCAAGUUUGACGUUACCGACAGAAUAAGCACCGGCUAACUCUGUG